This is an RNA transcript of Cornus florida, 2348 nucleotides long. It is a transcript of the gene named rop guanine nucleotide exchange factor 1, with no coding region annotated. The record is from RefSeq and is a predicted model, not a curated record. The transcript is spliced from 6 exons. NCBI's taxonomy places the organism in Eukaryota, Viridiplantae, Streptophyta, Magnoliopsida, Cornales, Cornaceae.
UUGUUGUUACUGGAAAAGCACACUCCAAAGACCAACAAAGCAAACACCAUCUCAUUUUGCUUUUGCAGCAUCACUAUAUACAUAUAUAUAUAUAUAUGUAGAUAUAGAGAGAGAAAAUUCUAGAGAGAGAAAGAAAGAAAGGGAGAAAGAGGUCCUCUGCUACUACUUUUUUUUUCACUCCUCACCACUACCACUUAUCAACCAUAUCUGCAAUUUACAGACCACACGAAGCAUAUCUUCAGAUCGUUUACACAAUGUGUUUCAGAUCUCUGUUUUCACUUCUAAUUUAAGCUUGAAUCAGUUUUUUGAUGAUUGCUAUGGGGAGUGUAUCGUCCGAUGAUGGCGACGAUCAACAGAGUGAGCGAUGUGGAAGCUACAGCUUGAGUGCCGAUGUGAGUGAAUCUGAGAGUUCCAGUAGUUUCUCGUGUCGAAGAUUCGACGGUGAAGGAGCAUCGACUUCUCUGGCUUCGUCGCCACUCGCACGCCGUCCGAUGUACGGGAAUUUCGGUUUUCCGGUAGCUCCGCCGCCACCGAUUAUGUUGCCGGUGAUUGGCGGGAAAGAUUUGGGGGUUUGGAAGGUCAAGCCUGAGAAACGGGAGGCCGAUUUGUCUGAAGUUGAGAUGAUGAAGGAAAGAUUUGCUAAGCUGCUCCUUGGAGAAGACAUGUCUGGAGGGGGUAAAGGAGUCUGUACUGCCCUCGCAAUCUCAAAUGCCAUCACAAAUCUCUCUGCCACUAUAUUUGGGGAACUGUGGAGGUUGGAGCCAUUGGCAUCACAGAAGAAGGAAAUGUGGUGCCGAGAGAUGGAAUGGUUGUUAUGUGUGAGCGAUUCAAUUGUGGAGUUUGUGCCUUCGGUACAGAAAUUCCCUGGGGGAGGGACGUAUGAAGUCAUGGCAACACAGCAGAGAUCAGAUUUGUACGUGAAUCUCCCUGCCCUCAAGAAGCUUGAUGCCAUGUUAAUUAUGAUCCUUGAUGGAUUUCGAGAAACCGAGUUCGGUUAUGUUGAUCGUGGGAUAAUUGUGCCUGAUGCCAAUGAUUGUGAUGAAUUUCCAUCAUCUGCAUCUAAUGGGAGGCCUUCAAUAAGGCAAGAAGAGAAGUGGUGGCUCCCAUGUCCAAAAAUUCCUCCGAGUGGGUUGCCAGAGGAUGCAAGAAAGAGGUUGCAGCAGUGCAGGGACUGUACAAACCAGAUAUUGAAGGCAGCCAUGGCCAUCAAUAGCGUUGUGCUCGCUGAGAUGGAGAUUCCUAGUGCCUACUUGGAGACCUUGCCCAAGAAUGGAAAAUCUUGUCUGGGCGAUAUCAUAUACCGUUACAUAACUGCUGACCAGUUCUCACCAGAAUGUCUCCUUGAUUGCCUAGACCUUUCAUCAGAGCAUCAUACCCUGGAAGUGGUAAACAGAAUUGAAGCAGCCUUGCAUGUGUGGAAACAGAAAGACAGAAAAAAACACACAAACCACCUGAAAUGUAAGCAUUCAUCAUGGGGUGGCAAGGUCAAAGGCCUUGUUGUUGAUGGUGGGAAGAAUCAUUUUCUGGCUCAACGAGCUGAGACCCUCUUGCAGAGCUUGAAAGUUCGAUUCCCUGGUCUUCCACAAACUGCAUUGGAUAUGAGCAAAAUUCAAUACAAUAAGGACGUGGGGCAAUCAAUUCUUGAAAGUUACUCAAGAGUAAUGGAGAGCUUGGCGUUUAACAUAAUUGCUAGGAUUGACGAUGUCCUUUAUGUAGAUGAUGCCACUAAGCGAAGUGAUGGAGCUAAGUCAAUGUCCUUUUUCAGCAAGGGAGGUUUGGAUGGUCUUCCAAUCCAAAAGCCAAUGUCACCUAGCCCAUUCUCAGUUCGACAUACCCCUUAUACCUCUCCAUUUGCAACACCGACCUUCUGUUCAUCCCCUCCCUUGGCUGGAAGCCCAUCUAGGACUCCUUCCCCUUUGAACAAAAAUAGUCUUAACCAGAAGACCGAAAAACCAAUAUCGGCUGACUUAGAGAAGCUGUGGACACAAGCCAGAAAUAUCAGCAAUGGAAAAGUUUAUGGUGUAACGCCUGAGCGUGAUUGAGAAAAGUGAUUCAUCUGUAUCACAAAGAGAAUUGCAUACAUGGCUUAGCAUCCUUGUGGCUGUGGGAUGUAAAAAGGUACUCGUCAGUUCCAGACUUAGACCUGAUCGUGCUGAGCAGAGACUACUACUCACUCUUUCGACGACGUAGGACUUUUCUCCAUGGUUUAACUUUGGCUAUCUUUUAGCUAUUUAUGUUUCAGUUUGGAUUUUGGUAUUAGGGGUCCAAUGAAUGGAUUCCCGAGUUGUUAUCUAUUGGAGGUUUUGGAAUUUUAAGUAUUUAAUGAAAAAGGAUUGUCUUUUAGAUUU